Mauremys reevesii (Reeves's turtle) is the source of this 849-nucleotide long non-coding RNA. RefSeq lists it as uncharacterized. Lineage: Eukaryota; Metazoa; Chordata; Testudines; Geoemydidae. The record is from RefSeq and is a predicted model, not a curated record. The transcript is spliced from 3 exons.
GGGGGCUUCAGAGAGUGAGCUGGGUGUGGUAGAACAGGUUAGGUAGAAGAUGUCCCCUGACCCAUGUCUAUGUUAUGUUAUGUUUGGCUAUGCUAGGAAUAGCAGAACAUGAGGAAAAUAAAUGGAUUUGUGUAGACUGAACUAACAUCAGUCAAGGAAAGCAAACUGUAUUCUGUUUGGCCUCAUACAUCAACAGAACUGUUGAAUGCAUUGCUGGUGAAGAUGAAAGAAGCAGAAAGAACCCAAUUUGAAUCUCAGAGUUAAGCAAGGAUGACCAGAACUCCAUGAUGCUGAGAGAUCAGUCCUGUCCUUUCCUUGGUGCAAUUACAUGACAACUUUAGGCUCUCAGGCGUGUGAGGAGGGAGAAGAAAAACAAGAUGUGCAAGGAUGUAAGUCAGGCUAUAACCAUGAACACCUAGUCAAUGCCAUCAAACAACUGUCAAAGGAGAUGCUACCAACUUCCUUGCUGUUGAAAGGCAACCCAAGAGCCCCUGAAGACACAGUGUCUGGGACAUGUAGGUGAGAAUUCUUCAAUCUGUUCUUCAAAUCUCAAUCAUCUAGAUGUUUGCCUACAGAAAGGGCAACAGCAAUACAUUGUAUUAAAUAUAAAUGAAUACAGUAGAAAUUCUUCCAUGGAUAUUCUAGAUACAUCACUGUUAUUGCCCAUCUCAGAAGACUCAUUGGGUGAUGACUUGCCAUCUCCUCUUUUAUUGUCCAGUUCAUGAGUUAAUCCUUCUGGCUGCUGUAUGAAGCUGUAGGCAAUUAAUAAUAAUUCAUCACUGUUUGCUGAAAGCAUAUUGUGUUGUGUGAAAGAGAUGUAAUCUCAAAAUAUAUGAGGUGAAGCAAGGA